RNAcentral lists this ribosomal RNA (500 nucleotides) under uncultured bacterium. RNAcentral's name for it is "partial 16S ribosomal RNA". It matches the Rfam family "Bacterial small subunit ribosomal RNA", at positions 30 to 523 of the family's 1533-position model. The record is from RNAcentral.
AUUGAACGCUGGCGGCAUGCCUUACACAUGCAAGUCGAACGGCAGCACGGGAGCAAUCCUGGUGGCGAGUGGCGAACGGGUGAGUAAAGUAUCGGAACGUGCCCAGUCGUGGGGGAUAACGUAGCGAAAGUUACGCUAAUACCGCAUACGAUCUAUGGAUGAAAGCGGGGGAUCGCAAGACCUCGCGCGAUUGGAGCGGCCGAUAUCAGAUUAGGUAGUUGGUGGGGUAAAGGCUCACCAAGCCGACGAUCUGUAGCUGGUCUGAGAGGACGACCAGCCACACUGGGACUGAGACACGGCCCAGACUCCUACGGGAGGCAGCAGUGGGGAAUUUUGGACAAUGGGCGAAAGCCUGAUCCAGCCAUGCCGCGUGCAGGAUGUAGGCCUUCGGGUUGUAAACUGCUUUUGUACGGAACGAAAAGGUUCGGGCUAAUAAGCUGAGCUCAUGACGGUACCGUAAGAAUAAGCACCGGCUAACUACGUGCCAGCCGCCGCAGUAA